UCCCCGUUACCGGGGCAGUCUAGCCAGAAAAAUUCAACUGGCUACAAGGGUUGCGCUCGUUGAUGGACUUAACCAAACAUCUCACGACACGAGCUGACGACGGCCAUGCAACACCUGUCACUACGGCCCGAAGGCACUUACUCCUUUCGGAGUAAUUAGUAGGAUGUCAAGCCUGGGUAAGGUUCUUCGCUUAUCCUCGAAUUAAACAACACGCUCCACCGCUUGUGCGGGUCCCCGUCAAUUCCUUUAUGUUUUAGCCUUGCGGCCGUACUCCACAGGCGGGAUGCUUAACGCGUUAGCUUCGCCACGUUCAGGGUCGAUACUGAACACGGCUAGCAUCCAUCGUUUACGGCGUGGACUAC
Molecule: unclassified non-coding RNA, 362 nt
Filed under: uncultured bacterium
Lineage: Bacteria
Description: contains 16S-23S intergenic spacer region
Source: RNAcentral